This is a long non-coding RNA of Austrofundulus limnaeus, 456 nucleotides long. RefSeq lists it as uncharacterized. The record is from RefSeq and is a predicted model, not a curated record. NCBI's taxonomy places the organism in Eukaryota, Metazoa, Chordata, Actinopteri, Cyprinodontiformes, Rivulidae. The transcript has 2 exons.
GGCAUUCUGCUGUACAAUGCCACAGAUCUUCUUUAGGUUGUAACCAAGCUUAUAAGCCAUUGAUGGAAGGGUGUAGGUUUUCUUUUCUGAGUCAUAACCUGCUAAUAUUUUCACAGCAGACACCACAUGAUGGAAGUUGGAGGGGUCAAAGAAAUCUUCCAGACUCUGCAUAGGGGUGGACUUUUGGGCCUCUAGCACAAGUCUUCCCACAGCUCGAAGUUGUUGUCUUAUAUAUUCAUUCUUGUUAAUGCUGCGAACAACGCCAUUAGCUAAGUGCUCUCCAAACUGCAGAAUUAAUCGGUCUUCCAUCACAGUUUCUGUCACCUCAUCAUAUACCAUCUCACCUAUGAUGUUCUUCAACUCCUCACUUAGGUCACCACAGUUUUUUGUUAGAAGUACACARUUCGAUAUGACUCUUUUURUCCCAUUUGAUUUAUCUUCCCUCUUUCCAUUGGA